This 1117-nucleotide long non-coding RNA is filed under the name Homo sapiens (human). RNAcentral's name for it is "non-protein coding lnc-CNPY1-10:1". The record is from RNAcentral. Lineage: Eukaryota; Metazoa; Chordata; Mammalia; Primates; Hominidae.
GACGCCAGGAGGGAAGGGCCCUCAGUCAGCUUGGCACAGCACCUGCUUGAACAGCCAAUUAUCUCCCUGCCUCAUCUCCAUCACUGUGCUUCCUCAAACUUCAGAGAGCUGUGGCCCGAACCCGCCCUCGGGGGUGCCAGGUCCUCUCUACCCCUCCUUCAUUUCUCUAAAUCCCAAGACUGGAGAUGCACACUUUCAAUCUGUGGAUAGUUCCAGUUUCAAAUGCAUGUUUCUUAUAGGCUGAAAAGUACUUUCAACCGAAAAGACACCCUUUUUACUUCCAGAAGAACCAGGAGGGGUACUCACCAGCUGCUGUCCCGCAGCAGGGAGGGACCCACCAGGCGGAGGAAAAGAUGGUGGCGAUCACCUCCUCGGGGAAGAGAGUGACAUUCCUCUGGAUCUGCAGCAGGUUGAGCACCAGGGCUAGGACCACCCCAACCGAGAAGAGCACGAGGCUCCUCUGCAACAGGCGAUGAUGCCAGGUGUUGGGGUAGGGGCUGCCGGGCUCGGGGCCGCUCAUCGCAGCACUGCGGCCCCUGGGCGCGGGGUCAGCGUCCGGGGCACCGUGGGCCGCCAGCAGGGAGGGCCCGGACACGGAAACGUUGAUCAUCUCCCCAACCUUGGCCGCCAGCCCCGCGGCGCUGGCUCGCGGGGGGCCUCGGCGCCUCGCGCUGUGCGCACAGGAGCAGCUCCAGAAGUGGUCGUGCAAUCUGGGCAUCGGUCACACGCGUCCAAGAGGCGCUUCCUGGAAGAAGGGGGUCAUCAAGUUCACUCAGAAGAGACAAAGAGCGAGGAAGGCCCCGCGGGACGCGAACCCCGGCACCCGGGCCAGGCGGCAGCGCCGCCCCCCAAGGGAGUGUGGGUGUGGCAGCAACCCAGCAUCUACCAUGCCGACCAUGUGCCAUGCCAUGCACCGCGUGUCGUAACAGGACAACAGAGCAAGAGACCCAGCAGACAGGGGUCCCCAGCAACCUCAUGAAGCGCCAUCCACUCACCUCCAGACAGUCUGGGGAGAGAGACUGAAACUUCUGUCUAAGCCACUUCAUCUUUGAUCUCCUUGUUUUUGUGGUUCAGGUUGUAUCUUAAUAAAUAAAACGUGUUUGAGUUCAUGUUUACA